AUGUUAGUCGAUGCAUAUCUGCAUAUGUGGGUUGCGAAGAACUUAUGGGAUGCACUGAAAGCUAAGUGCGGUGCAACUAAUGCUAGAAGUGAGAUGUAUGCUAUGGAGCAGUUCCAUGAUUAUGAUUACAUGAUGGUUGAUAGUCGUACUGUACUGGACCAGGCUCAUGUGAUACAGUGGAUCGCUAAGGAGCUCGUGCUCUGUAAGUGCGAAUUACCGAACAAGUUUGUCAUGGGAUGCAUAAUUGCUAAACCCCCUCCUUCUCAAAGGAACUUUGCUACUUCUCUCAAGCACUUGAGACAUGAAUUCUCAGUUGAGGCGUCAUCGGUCAUGUGA
This 336-nucleotide ribosomal RNA is filed under the name Triticum aestivum (bread wheat). RNAcentral describes it as "partial small subunit ribosomal RNA". The record is from RNAcentral. Lineage: Eukaryota; Viridiplantae; Streptophyta; Magnoliopsida; Poales; Poaceae.